Brassica rapa (field mustard) is the source of this 3049-nucleotide long non-coding RNA. RefSeq lists it as uncharacterized. The record is from RefSeq and is a predicted model, not a curated record. Lineage: Eukaryota; Viridiplantae; Streptophyta; Magnoliopsida; Brassicales; Brassicaceae.
AAUGAUAAAUAUAGUAAUAGUAAUGAUUAGGACUUAGGAGUGAAAUUCAAAAAAAUAAAAGAAUUGACUAAAUUAUUGUUAGAGAAAUAUAUGGUAACAUAUUGUUAGUAUAAAUUUAAGAUAAGACCAAAAAAUAAUGAGUUAAAUGAAAGAGUCCAAAUAACUUUUAUAGGUAGAUUUUUUUAGUCUCCUUCCAUUUUAAUAGUAUUGAUAACAAUAUAAACACUUAGUUACCUAAGGAUUGAUCCCUAAAUAAAGAUUUUAAGGAUCAAAUCCUUAUAGACAUGGCAGCUUGGCAUUGACUCUUCUUCUUGUACAACGACGAAUCCAGAUUCUGUAAUGGAGAGAAGGAGCAGCCAUGGGAGAAGAAGAAGGAAACAAAGGAACUGCUGCUUCAUCAUCUUCGAGAUCUCCGCCGCAACACCACAGAGAAGGUGAAGUCGUUAGCUUCGCCGCCGUGCCUCCGCCUAACUCCGGACCCGCGUCAACCAUCUUCCGCCUUUUAUGCUCACGGUGGAAUCAAAUCCAAUAGCCUAUCGUUCUCCUCAUCUGCAUCAGGUUUCGUGUCACUACCACUCGCUGUAGAGAAGUAGCUACGCUCGUCGUUCGUACAGAUGGAAGCUGCUCGACAUGUUACUGGUUCACUUAUCAGACUUUGUUAAGUUUACUUUGUCUGCCUCGUUAAAAACCAUCAAGGAAAGGUAUGUAAAUCAUUGUGUAGACUUGUUUCUUGCCUACGCAUGUGUUCUGCUUUCCUUGUCACCUAUUACUCUGCUCUGUUAUGAUAUUUAGUGUUGUGCAUAGUCAUACAAUUUGUAAGAUGGGUCUUAUAAUGUGGAUGCUCUCUAUAAUCUUUAUACAUCAAACUUAAAAACCAAUGCUUUGUGAAUCAGACUCUGAUUGUGUUCAAUUGCUUCCAAGACCUUAGAAUAUAGGGAAGUCUCUAUCUUUAUGUUGAAUGAGUUAAAUAAAUUGUUACAUAUUUUACCAAAUAGGCAAGGAAAACCAUAAUGAACCAGAGAAAAAACUGGAAGCUUGUUCCUGUUAAUGAAAAUGCACAAAGGAAAAGGAAGCCAUAUCCUGCAGGUGAGAUGUCAUACUUUGAAUGUUGAGUAUUGUCUCUUUUGUGGGUGUGAUUUGUGGAGGUACUCUUACUUGUUUUAUCUCCAUCUUAGUUAGUUAUUUCAAAUUUCAUAUCAGACUCUCAACUAUUUGAGUCUCUGGUUUUACUUUCUAGGGUGAUUUGAAAACCUUUGCUGGUAUGAAGAGGGUGUGGCUUUCCCGAAAUUUUUCUUAUAUAUAUGAAGCCUUUUCUAACACCAACUUAGCCUUUUUCAUUCAGUCACUAUAUGUUCAUACUAUUGGUAAGUUUAGGUCUAUGUCUGAUAUAACUAAAGUUCUCUACUUUAAGCAUUCAUUAGCCUUCUCAAAGUCUCAACAUUGAGGAUGUCAAGAAUCAGAAAAUUCAAGAGUUGUGUUUUAUUCCUAAGAACUCCAAACUGGAGAACACCAUUGGAGAAAGAAUUUUGAUUAGGAUCCUUAACUAUUCAAAAAAAAAUUAGUUUAAUAAUGCUAAGAACUCUAAUGGUAGUAACACCAUUGGAGAUGCUCUUAGGGCAACAUUAUUGCAGUCUUUAGUUUGGUCCUUAAGAGGAGAGGGCCCACAAAAACACCAGAACGAAGGAGAAAGUCCCUAACUAAGAGACAUUUUGGUUUGGUCCAUGUACUGUUCGCGGGCCCCACUGAAACGUGGCGGCCCGCGAUUGGUUCAUUUUUAAUUUUUUUUUUAAAUCGGAUAAAAAUAAAAAUAAAAAGUUUUAGGACCAAUUGUUAAGGAUUCAGCAAUAAUGAUGCUCUUAGACUUUUUCAAGCGUGUUUUAUUAGCUACCUCCCUACGUUUAAGGGCGUCAAUCACUCUCUUAGCUUCUCGAAAUAUGUCAAUAUCGACAAGGUCCUGAAAAAAAUGAGACAUUUACUAUUUGGUAUUUCAUAGAGAUGCAGUACAAACCCAAAAAUCAUCUCCACUGCUUAUAAAAAAACACACGGAGACAUAUAUAUCAUGAUCAAGAUGCAAAGGAACAUAGUAUAUGAAACAUUAUUAAAAUAGAAUAUUAAUAAACAAAAUACUAUAAUAUAUAUUAUUCAAAUCCCCUAUAUAUUAAUUGAGAAGCAUUUGAAAAGAUGUAACCUCAAUUUUGUAUUAAUUAAAAAAGACCCCUUGCUUAUGUGGCACAUCUAAAUGCCUUCUAAAUCUAUUUUCUAAGAAUUCUAGAGCACCUAAUAUAAACUAUAGUUUAAUCUAAAGUUGUCCCAUUUUUCCAUAAGUAUAUAACACUAUAGAACAUUAUAUUAACCUAAAAUAUAAGAAGUAUAUAUUCUUUCCUUAAAUAAAAGCUACGGAAUUACCUAAUAUGAUUUACAUAUAUAAGGCAAUAAAUGAUUAUGAUUAAUAAAGAUUUGAUAACAAUUUUGCAUCUUUCUUCUUUUUUGUUUAAUUUUAUAUUAUUUAAAAAAUUAAACAAUCACAGUAACCAUAUAAUAAAAAUAAAUAGAUUUUCUCUUAUAUGUUAUAUUUUGAAUUUUUUAAAAUGAUUUUAAAUUACAAAAAUGAGAAAACUUUAUAUGUUAUAUAUUUUUUUUUAAACGGCUUUAAAGUACAAAAAUGAGGACACCUUAUAUGUUAUAUUUUUCUUAUAUGUUAUAUUUUGAAUUUUUUUAAAAUGACUUUAAAUUACAAAAAUGUAAGUUUUCCUAAAGUAUACGAUUAAAAACAUUAAAAUGACAUGUAUCAAUUCGAUGGUUGGUCUGAAAGCUUUCAAAACCAUAUGGAAGAUAAAAGUAAAAAUAGUUCAACUGUGGAAACAAUACUGUUCACUUUUUUCAAGAAUAUGUUCGAUGGAAAAAAUAAGGUUUUUAUGUCAUAAUUUGUUUAAUGUCCACUAGAGAACAUUAUACUAACCUAAAAUAUAAGAAGUGUGUAUUCUUUCCUUAAAUAAAAGCUACGAAAUUACCUAAUAUGAUUUACAUAUAUAUGACAAUUAAUGAUUAU